CCCGGCCCUGCAGGCGGGGAAGUCGUAAAGCUCCUCCCGGUAGCUCAUGGGCGGCGGCAGCCGCGCCGAAGCUUGCGGACACAAAAAGGCCAGCUCAGCUGCCGGUUAUAUCCCCCCCGGCGGCCUGUGGCCAGGCGUCCGCGCACGAGCGCUCCUGGAAGACCUGUAGCCCCGCCGCGAGUUCCGAUCGGCUCCGCGUGAGGAGCGGGCUUCUGCGACGUCACAAGCGCGCGCCUUCGGUGACGUCGCAAGGAUGGGCCUUGGAGCGAUGUCACAGGCGGGGGCGUUCGGCGGCGUCACGGAGGUGGGAGUGUCAGUAGCUGAGCAGUUGUCUCCUGAGAGUGGAGCCUGGUAACCGCGACCUCCCCUCCAGGUCCUGUGUGUUGCUGGCUGGAGAAGGGUAGUUGACAAACUCAGACCCAGCGCAGUGUUUAUGUCGGUCAAAAAUACAAAAAUAUGUCCAGGCGCGACCAAGGCGGGAGGAUCCCUUCAGGCCACGAUCAGUCUAGCAACAUGGCGCGACCCUGUCUCAGUAGUCCUACCUCAGCCCCCCAGCUACUUGAACCCCAAGGUUCAAGGCUCCAAUGAGCUAGGUUCCUUCAGUAAUGAGCAUAUGUUCUUUUUCAAGAUGAUGAUGAUUCUCCACCUUCUAAGAGACCAAAGACCAUUGAGACACCACAGCCACCAGUCCCGUAACCUGCCAAUGCUGGGCAACAGAAAGUGAGGGAGUUCAACUCUGGUAAGUUCUCAGUGAAAUCCACUACCUUUUCCUUCAUCUUCUGGACUCUCAGUGUGACUGAUGAAAGUUACAACAUUCUCUGCAGGGGGAAAUGUUUUAGCAUGUAUUACUACAUUUUAAUCACAUCUUUGUAAAGCCAGGAGCAUUUUGAAAGUCACAUUACAGACAUUGUUUAAACAUAGUUUGUAUUUGCCAAAACAUAGGACACUGUGUCAUCUCGUAUUAAUUAGUUAGUUGGCUCAAAAUUAGUGCUAAUGACUUAGUAAUUCAAUGAUUUCUCUUAGCUUUAAAACCCUUUUUAUUUCAGAACUAUUUCACCUCUUGGUUUUCAUUUUUGCUAUGUGUCACUGCCUGCCAGCUGCUAAUUUAUUAACUCCCAGUGAAUCAUGUGUCCUGUGAAGGGACUGAAUGAGAUGUUAGUGGCAAAUUAU
This 1170-nucleotide long non-coding RNA is filed under the name Macaca mulatta (Rhesus monkey). RNAcentral's name for it is "lncRNA (ENSMMUG00000062226.1)". Lineage: Eukaryota; Metazoa; Chordata; Mammalia; Primates; Cercopithecidae. The record is from RNAcentral.